AGCAAUUUGUUGCCGCAAUGUUGCUGCAACUGUUUGCAAGAAAACUAAUUUGCAUACGAAAAAUGAAUAUUUGCCGCAAUAUUGCCGCAACAUUGCAGCUAUUAAUUUUCCUGCAAAUAUUUGCGGCAACGUUGCGGCAAUAUGUUGCG
RNAcentral lists this small RNA (149 nucleotides) under Mytilus galloprovincialis (Mediterranean mussel). Lineage: Eukaryota; Metazoa; Mollusca; Bivalvia; Mytilida; Mytilidae. The record is from RNAcentral.